UACGUAGGGUGCAAGCGUUGUCCGGAAUUAUUGGGCGUAAAGAGCGUGUAGGCGGCCCGAUUAGUCCGCUGUGAAAGUCCAGGGCUCAACCCUGGAAUGCCGGUGGAUACUGUCGGGCUAGAGUCCGGAAGGGGCGAGUGGAAUUCCUGGUGUAGCGGUGAAAUGCGUAGAGAUCGGGAGGAACACCAGUGGCGAAGGCGGCUACCUGGACCAGCACUGACACUGAGGCACGAAAGCGUGGGGAGCAAACAGG
Molecule: ribosomal RNA, 253 nt
Filed under: uncultured bacterium
Lineage: Bacteria
Description: partial 16S ribosomal RNA
Rfam family: Bacterial small subunit ribosomal RNA
Source: RNAcentral